Molecule: ribosomal RNA, 504 nt
Filed under: uncultured bacterium
Lineage: Bacteria
Description: bacterial SSU rRNA
Rfam family: Bacterial small subunit ribosomal RNA
Source: RNAcentral
GAUCCUGGCUCAGGGAUGAACGCUAGCUACAGGCUUAACACAUGCAAGUCGAGGGGCAGCAUUAUCGAAGCUUGCUUUGAUAGAUGGCGACCGGCGCACGGGUGAGUAACGCGUAUCCAACCUUCCCCAUAGUCAGGAAUAGCCCGGCGAAAGUCGAAUUAAUGCCUGAUGUUUUCCACGGACGGCAUCCGAUGUGGAACAAAGAUUGAUCGCUAUGGGAUGGGGAUGCGUCUGAUUAGCUUGUUGGCGGGGUAACGGCCCACCAAGGCAACGAUCAGUAGGGGUUCUGAGAGGAAGGUCCCCCACAUUGGAACUGAGACACGGUCCAAACUCCUACGGGAGGCAGCAGUGAGGAAUAUUGGUCAAUGGGCGGAAGCCUGAACCAGCCAAGUAGCGUGAGGGAUGACUGCCCUAUGGGUUGUAAACCUCUUUUAUAAGGGAAUAAAAUACGGGACGUGUCCUGUUUUGCAUGUACCUUAUGAAUAAGGACCGGCUAAUUCCGUG